UACGUAGGGCGCGAGCGUUGUCCGGAAUUAUUGGGCGUAAAGAGCUCGUAGGUGGCUUGUUGCGUCUGCCGUGAAAGCCCGUGGCUUAACUACGGGUCUGCGGUGGAUACGGGCAGGCUAGAGGCUGGUAGGGGCAAGCGGAAUUCCUGGUGUAGCGGUGAAAUGCGCAGAUAUCAGGAGGAACACCGGUGGCGAAGGCGCCUUGCUGGGCCAGUUCUGACGCUGAGGAGCGAAAGCGCGGGGAGCGAACAGG
RNAcentral lists this ribosomal RNA (253 nucleotides) under uncultured bacterium. RNAcentral describes it as "partial 16S ribosomal RNA". It matches the Rfam family "Bacterial small subunit ribosomal RNA", at positions 524 to 776 of the family's 1533-position model. The record is from RNAcentral.